UUGGCCGGGCGACGGUUGUCCCGGUUUAAGCGUGUAGGCUGGUUUUCCAGGCAAAUCCGGAAAAUCAAGGCUGAGGCGUGAUGACGAGGCACUACGGUGCUGAAGCAACAAAUGCCCUGCUUCCAGGAAAAGCCUCUAAGCAUCAGGUAACAUCAAAUCGUACCCCAAACCGACACAGGUGGUCAGGUAGAGAAUACCAAGGCGCUUGAGAGAACUCGGGUGAAGGAACUAGGCAAAAUGGUGCCGUAACUUCGGGAGAAGGCACGCUGAUAUGUAGGUGAAGCGACUUGCUCGUGGAGCUGAAAUCAGUCGAAGAUACCAGCUGGCUGCAACUGUUUAUUAAAAACACAGCACUGUGCAAACACGAAAGUGGACGUAUACGGUGUGACGCCUGCCCGGUGCCGGAA
This 407-nucleotide ribosomal RNA is filed under the name Escherichia coli. Its description in RNAcentral is "partial 23S ribosomal RNA". It matches the Rfam family "Bacterial large subunit ribosomal RNA", at positions 1487 to 1874 of the family's 2925-position model. Lineage: Bacteria; Pseudomonadati; Pseudomonadota; Gammaproteobacteria; Enterobacterales; Enterobacteriaceae. The record is from RNAcentral.